CAGUAGCCACGGGAAUACGUAGGUGGCAAGCGUUGUCCGGAAUUAUUGGGCGUAAAGGGCUCGCAGGCGGUUUCUUAAGUCUGAUGUGAAAGCCCCCGGCUCAACCGGGGAGGGUCAUUGGAAACUGGGAAACUUGAGUACAGAAGAGGAGAGUGGAAUUCCACGUGUAGCGGUGAAAUGCGUAGAGAUGUGGAGGAACACCGGUGGCGAAGGCGACUCUCUGGUCUGUAACUGACGCUGAGGAGCGAAAGCGUGGGGAGCGAACAGGAUUAGAUACCCCCGUAGUCCCUGUCUCUUAUAC
This 301-nucleotide ribosomal RNA is filed under the name uncultured bacterium. RNAcentral describes it as "partial 16S ribosomal RNA". It matches the Rfam family "Bacterial small subunit ribosomal RNA", at positions 509 to 807 of the family's 1533-position model. The record is from RNAcentral.